UGUUCCUGAAAGUGAGCGCCCGUUACCAUAGAGACGGUGACAGCUACUGCUCGUCUAUGGGCUGUGAGCGGAUUAUCGUACACGCCUUUGUCAUGAGUGACGAGGUGGCGAACUGCACCAUAGAAGCCUACCCCAAAUAUCAGGCCCCGCCCACCGAGACCGUUCCCAUGGCAACCUACGUGGCCGAGCAAGAGUCGUGCUCUGCGUGUGGAUCUCAGGUACCGAUAGUAUUCGAUGAUCGACAACAAUAUGCGAACAUAACUAUAGUAUCCAGCGGAUUCUACGAGAU
Branchiostoma belcheri (Belcher's lancelet) is the source of this 289-nucleotide long non-coding RNA. RefSeq lists it as uncharacterized. NCBI's taxonomy places the organism in Eukaryota, Metazoa, Chordata, Leptocardii, Amphioxiformes, Branchiostomatidae. The record is from RefSeq and is a predicted model, not a curated record. The transcript is spliced from 2 exons.